CUUUAAGCAAAAGACUAUAAAGCUUGACAGAGAGGGAGGACAUAGUCUGCCCCUUACUCUUUACCAGUUAAUGCUACCUUAGGUGUAUCAGGAGUUGGGAUUUCUCAGCACUGCUAAUGAAGAUCCCCUCUUAUAGUCCAAUAAGCUUAUCAGGACUUCCAGAGUCAUGACAUGAACAGUUUAAUUGAACCCAUCCACUCUGGGCAGGU
Molecule: long non-coding RNA, 209 nt
Organism: Pan troglodytes (chimpanzee)
Lineage: Eukaryota; Metazoa; Chordata; Mammalia; Primates; Hominidae
Exons: 2
Source: RefSeq, a predicted model, not a curated record